RNAcentral lists this microRNA precursor (66 nucleotides) under Pteropus alecto (black flying fox). RNAcentral describes it as "let-7e stem-loop (pal-let-7e)". Its record names the gene pal-let-7e. Lineage: Eukaryota; Metazoa; Chordata; Mammalia; Chiroptera; Pteropodidae. The record is from miRBase by way of RNAcentral.
UGAGGUAGGAGGUUGUAUAGUUGAGGAGGACACCCACGGAGAUCACUAUACGGCCUCCUAGCUUUC